Molecule: ribosomal RNA, 389 nt
Filed under: Picozoa sp.
Lineage: Eukaryota; Picozoa
Description: partial small subunit ribosomal RNA
Rfam family: Eukaryotic small subunit ribosomal RNA
Source: RNAcentral
AUUCCAGCUCCAAUAGCGUAUAUUAAAGUUGUUGCAGUUAAAAAGCUCGUAGUCGGAUUUUGGCAUCACGCCGAACUGUCUGCCGAUUGGUAAGUACGGUUUGGCGGGUGCUUCCUUCCGGAGGCUCGUUCCCUUCUUCAUUGAAGGGUUCGUUGGUUCCGGGUCUUUUACUUUGAGAAAAUUAGAGUGUUCAAAGCAGGCCUAUGCUCUGAAUAGGUUAGCAUGGAAUAAUAGAAUAGGACUUUGGUUCUAUUUUGUUGGUUUCUAGGACCGAAGUAAUGAUUAAUAGGAGCAGUUGGGGGUAUUCGUAUUCGAUUGUCAGAGGUGAAAUUCUUGGAUUUAUAGAAGACGAACUACUGCGAAAGCACUUACCAAGGAUGUUUUCAUCA